Molecule: ribosomal RNA, 253 nt
Filed under: uncultured bacterium
Lineage: Bacteria
Description: partial 16S ribosomal RNA
Rfam family: Bacterial small subunit ribosomal RNA
Source: RNAcentral
UACAGAGGUCCCAAGCGUUGUUCGGAUUCACUGGGCGUAAAGGGUGCGUAGGCGGUCGGGUAAGUCUGGCGUGAAAUCUCCAAGCCUAACUUGGAAACUGCGUUGGAUACUAUCCGGCUCGAGGAAUGGAGGGGAGACUGGAAUACUUGGUGUAGCAGUGAAAUGCGUAGAUAUCAAGUGGAACACCAGUGGCGAAGGCGGCCUGCUGGGCUAUGGCUGACACUGAGGCGCGACAGCGUGGGGAGCAAACAGG